Molecule: ribosomal RNA, 253 nt
Filed under: uncultured bacterium
Lineage: Bacteria
Description: partial 16S ribosomal RNA
Rfam family: Bacterial small subunit ribosomal RNA
Source: RNAcentral
UACGAAGGGGGCUAGCGUUGCUCGGAAUUACUGGGCGUAAAGGGAGCGUAGGCGGACAGUUUAGUCAGAGGUAAAAGCCCAGGGCUCAACCUUGGAACUGCCUUUGAUACUGGCUGUCUUGAGUUCGGGAGAGGUGAGUGGAAUGCCGAGUGUAGAGGUGAAAUUCGUAGAUAUUCGGCGGAACACCAGUGGCGAAGGCGACUCACUGGCCCGAUACUGACGCUGAGGCGCGAAAGCGUGGGGAGCAAACAGG